This is a long non-coding RNA of Taeniopygia guttata (zebra finch), 6019 nucleotides long. Lineage: Eukaryota; Metazoa; Chordata; Aves; Passeriformes; Estrildidae. The record is from Ensembl.
UUUUUUUCUUUUUUUACUUUUUUGAAGUAAUAGCAUUACAGGACUAAUUACUUAGCAAGGUCUCUAUAAAUGUAUCUGCCUUUGAAACCUCUACAAAAGCACAAGUGAAAUUCCAGAGAGAAACAAACACAAACUCCCUUUUAAUUAAGCACCUUGCCUCUCUGUGGGGAGUGACAGAGUGAGCAGAUGCAGGGGGAUUGCCAAUUAAGACACAACUUCUUUGAUGGGAAGGGUACAGCCACACACAAGAGGAAAAAGGAGAGGAACUUGCCAUCCAAGUCAUUUUAAUUGGAUGCUCCAAGAGAUUAUGCAUUCCCCACAUUCCAUGCUGCCAAAAAAAUAUUACUGAUGCAAAUUACUAAAGAGCCACCAAAACAUGUCCUAAGAUGCUUGUUAUUGUUAUUACUAAAGCUACCUGCGCCCCUCACUCAUCCUGCUUGAGAGGGCUGUAACACAGGGAGAUAAUUCUCAGGGUUAAUUAGACAAAGGAACUGACAACUCUUGGAUUUAAUUUUGUUAUUGAUCAUUAUUAUUCACUAAACACCAAGCAUGCUUAGCAAAAACUUCUUGAAGAGAAUGCACAGUGAUGUCUAGCCUAAAUCAGUAUUAAAAGCAACCAAAAAAUUAAAAUCCAAAUUGCAAAUAGCUAAAAUAAACUCCUGAAAAUUGCAUGAGCCAGGAUGCAAACAGAAAAUGAACCAGAAGAUGGACUGGUCAUUUUCUGCAUAACUUUCAUUGAUUUGACAUUCUAAUAUUUUUGGUGUGCUGACUUUUCUCCUAUCCUAAUGACACUGCUGUUACUCUUUCAGCUUUGCUACAAAUCUGCAUGUUAACUUUCACUUCUGUUUUUGUCUGGUUUCAAUUGAAAUGCAUAUGAGCUUUCACAUGGCUUGUUCCACACCUUUGUACCCCUUGGGGAGGGACAAAAAAGGGCAGGAAACAGAAAUGGCUUGCUCGGUUUGCAGCCUGCUCAGGAAUCUUGAUUUUGCCUCCUUACACUUACGUCUCCCUGCAGAGGACAGAGCCCUGUGCAAGGAAAUUCAGGCACAGGAACCCAGAGCUGCUUUAUCUGAGCCUCCUUCCCCUGAACAUGACUGCUCUGGCAUCCAGGCCGAUGGAAACACAGAAGAAGAUCGGGAUUUCACUAUCUCGACUCAAAAUAAAUGAGUGUGACAGAAAAGGAACUCUUGUCUUUGCAAACAGAAGAAGAGCUCAGCCACUGCUGAGAAUGGGAUAACCAGGAAUGUGUUCCUGCCUUGGGAGAAGAGCCCAGGCUGCAGAGGUAGGCUGGGGCAGAGGAGCUGCUCCCUUCUGAGUCUCUCCAGCUGGCAAGCCAGAAACAACAGCAUUACUAGAUCUCAGUUAUAAACAGCAAAAACUAUUCUGGCUUCUGUGGAAGGACAAAAAAAGCCUGCAAGAAAAAAAGAAAUCAACCCAUAUCUUUUCUUCAUUUCUUUCUUCUCUCUGGGAAGUGUCUUAAUGCCACCAGCAAGAAAAAAAAAAGACAAAAAGUAAGAGGAAACUCCGGUGAUAGAUACCCAUCCUUCCUCCCUCCAGCUGCUUUCCCUGUGGCAAGUGCUCUGUUUAACCCUUUGGGGCUUCUUGCAAUCCCCACUGCACUGGGAUUUCUCUUCAAUGCACAGUCAACACUGAUGUCCACCGACCCCAAAUCCCUCCCAAACCGUAACACUCCAGGGAGUUCUGCAGUGUCCCCAGAUGAGAAGUUCCCCAUCUCCCCCACAUUAUCUACAUACACCCCUAGUGCAGAGUGCUGGCACAAUGCUUAUAAAAAUACACUGAGGCUGGAGCAGCUUAACAGUGUCGCCACACUGGGUUAUUAAUCAGAAUGAAAUGCCUGAGAAUAAAGGAAGUAAGGAUAUUUAAUUUAUGAGUGAAAAGGUGAAGGAACCUAAUUACAGCUAGGUAAUUCCUGCACAUGGAAAGUACAUCUCCUGUGACAGGGCUCCCUCAUCUAGCAGAGUUCCAGUGUCUGAAAAAUCAAAGCCAGACCUACCAAGGCUCAAAAUGGAGACAAGAUGCAAUUUUUCAAGAAGGAGGAAAGUGUUUCCAUUCUGUUUCAUUAGGUAUAUUUUCCAUCACUUGACUCCACUAUCCAUAUCCAUUAUCACUUACUAGAUAAUUUCCAAAAACAAAAACAAACAAACAACAAAAAAAAAAAAAAUCAGGAAACAGGAAAAGACAAGCAGAGAGGAGAGGUGGGAGAAUCAACUCGAUCUAGGCAGCUAAUUUAAACAUUAAGUCAAGAAACUCAAUUCCUGACAUAGCCAAGAAGAGAGAAUCAGGCUCUAAAUUCAGAGCUUUGAAUCACCCUGUGGCAGCUCUGGUGACUGUAUGUGGCCUUGAGGCUCCCAAAUUAGACAUCUGAACUUGCAUGCAUCUACAGCUAUUGGCCAUGCUGCUUGCAGCAAAUGCUAGUGGGAUUUGAACACCUAAUACUGUUUUUAAUUCUUGCUUAACUGUAGUGACAACAGUUGACAACAGUUUCAAGAGUUUUAUCUCAUUUUCGGCGAGGCCAAUGCUGUUACCAAAGUACAUCAUACCCUGAACCAUCCACAAGCAUAAAUCACACAUUUACUACCUGCAGCACACUAUAUAAACAUAUUUCAUCUUUCAGCCUCUAAAAAUAAUACAAAGUUACAUAUUUGCUAUAAACAUGAACAAAGCAAACUUCAUGCUGACAGGAUGCAUACAAGCAAAACCAGAGAACUUGUUUUAAGGAGAACAUCGAUGCAAAUUGCAUUGUAAGAAACAGUCAUCGAUCAGAUUCCGUAAUUCCUUGGCAUGUCUAUCCUUUGCAACAACUCUUAUAUUACUGUACAAUUAAAAAGAAAGCAAAUACCAAAUUCUCACCUCUCCCCAACUAAUAAACACUCUCAGUUCUUGAGAAAUAAAGUUCUGAAAUCCCACAUAACUCUCACUGAACUUUCAUCUGGUGCAGUAUAUUGUCACAAAGCAGAAAAUGCAGGUUGUGUUCCAUUAUCUGUAAUGAGAACGACACUCCUUCAUUUUAACAAGGUACCACUGCCAAUAUCAGCCCUGCUGUUUAGAAAACCUGAGGCAAUGAUUUUUUAUUUAUACAAGAGCAACGAAACCCAGCGAGAUCAGAUGUGAUCGAAGGCACCUUCCAGCACCUGGCACAGAGUGAAUAUUCAUGCAGCACCUUUAAAAAGCAGCUUACAUCCCACACACCUCACACCAAGGCACUGCCCAGCCCUGCCAACAGCUGGGCAGCCUGGAACAAGAACUGCUCACAUCCAUGUGGCCAGCAGCCCUGCACACUUCAAGGUGGGAAAUCAAGGCAUUGCAAUGAUCAAAAUUCGUUCAGUGGUUUCUCCCCAGUGAAGCACUUAAAUUUUUCUGCAAGACAUGACAAGUCUGAGGAAGGAAAGCUGGAGGGUUUCUUCACACACAGAUGCCAAUGCUUCUGGGACCUGCCACCCUUCCAUGCCACUGCAGCACCAGCACGGCUCGAGCACCUCAAACUGUCUGCACAAGUAACCCUGCUAACCCAAACUGGGCUCUCCCCAACUCCAUGAGCGGAGCAGCAGGAAUUUGCUCUCAGCUCUAGCCCUUCUCAGAAGCAAGUGAGCUGCCUUCUCUUGUUUCUAACUCACCUCACUCAAGAAUGAGUUGCACUUCAGGCUUUAUUUCUACCUGCCCAUAGUAUUUCCACUCUCUGUACAAAGGGACAAUUAAAUCAGUGGUCACCUGUAUGAGGGAUUAUGAAGUACAGCACUGGGACAAGAAGUUAGCUCUGAAAUUAGAUGGAGCAGACCAACAUUGGCUGGCUGGAGGCAUAAAUAGGACACUGACAAUUGCAGGUUCAUCUGUAUCUUGAGCUCAGCUGAGCUUCUUCUUAUCCACAAUUGCCUCUGUUGACUUUCUUUCUGUCUCACUGUCUUCAGGAGUCCUCUUAAAAAAAACCCAUGACUCCCUCUAAGGUGAGAGAAAACAGAACAGAAAACAAGAUUUUGCUCAAGCAAUGUCAUAGGAGCACUGUGUGGAGGAAAAAAAAGAUAUUUUGGUGGCACCAGAUUAAAGCCUCUGUGAUUGGAAAGAUGCCCCAUGGAGCAGCCACCCCUUUGGAAUAAACCUAGGCUUUAAUUUCAGGUACUGCAAGACAAGGAGCAAUGUCACUGGGCUGCCUGAGCUGCACCAACAGUGACCUGGCACAGCAAGGAGUGGCCAGAGCCAGCCCUCCCAGUUUUGGGGACACAGUACAAGGGCAGAAUGCAGUUUGCACUGGUAAAGGACUCCUGCCACCAAGAGCAAUGGCAAAGAACACGUCAAGCUACUGUCACACUCAGGGCUCUGUCUUCUCGGGACCAAAUGACUGGAACUGUGGAAAUGUUAUUCCUUUUGUGUGCCACAACCCUAAAAUGGCUCAGGACUGACAGCCCAGCUGCUCCACAAAUGAUAAAAGCUUUUAUACUUUUAACUGCACGGGAAGCACAGCAAAUCCCAGAUACAAUGGAAAGGACAAAAACAAAAUUAAGUGGAAAUAACAUUUAAUUUUAUGUCCAGGUCCUCCAUUGACUGGCUGUUUAGAUUUUAUCACAAGAUUUUGAGGCUGUUGUAGGAGCAUCAAAAUCUGCUCACUCACAAAACAGGCAGCCCAGGUUUCAUCUUUAAGAGGAUGGUACAUUCAUCUACAACAAAUGACCCCUCUAAUUGCAAGGUCACCAUAGUGGACCAAAGACAAAAUUCUUGAUGAGACAAAAUUUGGAGACUGUGCUGAUCUACACCUGACAGUCCUGUAACCCAUGGACAAGAUUUCCCUAAGCUUUGGGGAGGAAGUUGGUAAUUUAGUGAGUAAAUGCUUUCCCCUGCCACAGUGGAAAGCACUGGCAGCUCCCUUAGCCCUGGCACAUGAGGUCACAGGCACCCACCACAACCUGGUGCCUCAGGAGAGACCCACGGUGCAAAACAAAAAAGAUCCUGGAAUGCCAGCCAGCCUUUCUUGAGGGGGUAUUUACAAGGCCUGCAGCUUUCUCUUAUGGCUUUUCAUUACAAUACUUCAUUUAUAUAUUUCAGAUUCUCCUGCUGAGAAUAUAGAUAAGCUUCUAACAUUACAUUUUCUAUAAAACAGAGUCCCAAUACAAAGCUAGUGACAAAUGCUGGCGUCAGAAGCCUGCAGUAAUGGCAUUCUGUCAGGGCUUUGUAGAGCAAUGAACACAGAGUAAAACAAAAGUAUCUUCCCAACUUGUAAAUUUAUUUAUGGAACCCUUAAAAUAUGAAAUUAAAGUUCCUUCUGUGGGCAUGCAGAAGCCCUAUGUCUUAAUAAUUGUAUAUACAAGAAUGGCUUAAAACUGUAAUACAACAUUUGGUUUCGGUCCACAUUAGUUCUAGUGCUUGAUAUAUUCCUUGCAAUAAACAGAUUAAAGCUUAUUACCAUUGAUAAAGUCGAUCUUGUAGACCCCAGGGCGCUGCUUUGAAAAUUUCCAUGGUGAAAUCUGGCAGUGUGAUGCAAUGUAAUGUGGUAACACUGUGGUGGUGUGGCAGUGAUGCCCAUGCAUUGUCUCCAUGAUUUCUGAUUCUGACCCCACAACUAUGAACAAAGCUGUAACCUUACAGUUCAGAGAGGGACAAAACCACCCAGAAAACAUAAAUACCCACAAAAUAUCACACAGAAAACAUACUCCACUUCUUUGUCUUCCCACAGUUGAACAUUUCAUUAAAAAGCCAAAUGUUCAAUGACAUAGACCACUGAGUUUAACUUCAAUACAAGAAGAGUUGAUAGAAAAUUAUAAUAAAGAACUGAACAAGUGGGUGCAUGAUAUACCUGGAAAGAGUCAGAUAUUUUACAGAGAGCAGUCAUGCACAACAAUCUGUCAGAAUUCCCUGAAGGAGUUAACAAGCACAUGAAUGAGGGGACAUGGUCAGCAGGGACAUGCAGGUGGCUGAUGCAGUACAUGGGGCUUUUCCCAAACCCUUCAGCAGACAGAUUCAAGGAAUCUUUAAAGAGCCUUUAAAAAGGUAGGCUAUGGUGGGAGAGAAA